CGUAGCCUGUGUUCGGUUCGCAGAGUGGUUGAAUAAUAAGUGACCAUGGGCGUAAACUCGAGAGCUCAGAUACCUGAGGACAACUGAGGAGAAGAUGCUGCUGUUGUGUGAACCUCAUGACCCCACGAGGUUCUCCUGUUAGAGGUUUCUGCUGCUGGAAAGUGUGGAGCCUUUAAGAAGGAGACUAUGGGAUGUCACUUCUUUCUCUUCCAAGCCACAGGUGGAAUAGCAGUGGACGCGCCUCAGCGCAGGACGGCACCUGUCAUCACUGACUCCGCGCCAUGGACUGCCAGUUUGAGGGUCUCUGCCCCUCUGCUUGCCCAGCAUAAAGCAAAAGACUGCAGAGGCACACUCAGGUGACCUGAGAAAACUCAAAAAGAAGGAGAAGAAGAAGAAGAAGAAGAAGAAGAAGAAGAAGAAGAAGAAGAAGAAGAAGAAGAAGAAGAAGAAGAAGAAAAAGAAGAAGAAGAAGAAGAAAAAGAAGAAGAAGAAGAAGAAGAAUGCUGUGCUAUUGUCAUUGUGGGGCAUGCAGUGCAAGUUUUUGUUCGGUUUGAAGAUAGAGGAGAGAAUCCAGCUGGCCUUGUCAAUCACCUGCCCAGGAGUCCAGCCCUCCAGAAAAACUGGUCCAUCUGAAGACAAGCUAAGGAGACUAGCGGAGUCUACUACACUGCUCGGAGUCUGUCUGCUUUUCUGAGUUACUCAGAAAAGUGUAGCUUUUCUAUUUCUUUUGGAUCCUGAUCAAAACCUGAGCAUGCUUUCCCUGCACUCGGGGCUUUCUCGUUCAUUUUCUAAGCUCCCCACAUCUUCCUCAAUGUUGCUGUGUGUCUGCCACACAGCGGCUUGUCAACCUCCAUCACUGCAUCUGCCGGCUUUCCUGGGCUGUAAGUCCCAAACCAGCCUUCUCUCAUCCUUUCUAUCUUCCUCUUCCUGGUAGCUGCGGAAAUUUACAUCUUGCCUACCCUAUUCUUAUUUUUUUUCCAAGCUCAUAAAACUGUCCCAAGAGUCCUCGGUUUCUAAAUUCUUUUUAUCAAUGAAACUAAGAGCCCUGCAGAAGGAACCCCAGUUCUUCUGGUAACAGUGUGGUCUAGUGACACCAAGGCAAAAGGGCUCUGUGUCCCCCUCUGCACCAUGAAUGGUCCCCUACGUCUACUGCUCUUCCACACUUUGCAGGAUUUUUCCUCCACAGCACUGCCCAUGAAAUCUGGAGCUAUUUUGCACUUUGAGACUGGUUGGGAUGGUCCAAGUGAUGAUGUAAAAUUAGGGAAAUUUGUAGAAUUGUAUAAUUUAUACUGGCCUUGUCACCAUAUAACAAAAUUGUGAGUCCUUGAAGAGUUUAUUAAACCAUCAUGUCAUAUGUCUCAUCAACGGUAAGAAUUUAGAUGAGCUCCGAUUUCUCAAAUAGGAAUCAAUAAUUUUCUAAAACACCCUUCAGUGUUUUUGAGUUGCUUCUCUGAAAGUGAUGUCUAGUGAAGCAUCUCAAAUUAGACAGAUUCACAAAUAUGUUUUACUGAAAGAAAUUAGAACCUCAAGAUGUUCUCUGAAGCAAUCGCAUUAACUCAUCCUUUUCGUUGCUUCAUGGUCAGAGAUUUUUCUGGUAAUAAGGUUUCUGUUGUGCUACUUCUGUGUGGCUUGCUCCUCUACCAGGCCUUUCUUUGCUGUCUAAAUAGAAAAAUGUGUGCAUAGCCUGGUGCAACAGAAUAGUGGUUAGGACCACGUGGAAGCCCUAGGGGUCUGUCUUCAUGGCAGAAGGACAUCUAACAACACGUCUAAGAGGAGAGAAUCCUGAGCUGAAGGAUUUGGAGGAGAGAAAGAAUUGAAUCUGAAAUAAUGCCAAGAAUUAUAAAAGCCAUGUUGAUGUUAACUACUGAUGGCCACUGAAAUUCAUUCAUUCACCCACUGGAGUUUGAUUAGUGUCACUUACGUGUUCUGUGAACCAGGCAGCAAUCUGCGUGUUGGGAAUAGAGCAGUGAAGACAGAUAAAUCCCUCAUCUAACAUGGAAGUUCGCAUUCUUCUAUGUGGAGAUGCAAACAAUGCGUUAACAUGUAUCAUGUCAGCUGGUAAUAAGAGCCCAAAGUUAGAAUGACAGUGACAAACUGAGAAGGAGGAAAAAUGCACAUGCACACAUACACACACACACACACAUACACACACACACA
RNA transcript from Apodemus sylvaticus (European woodmouse), 2157 nucleotides. RefSeq lists it as uncharacterized. The transcript has 4 exons. NCBI's taxonomy places the organism in Eukaryota, Metazoa, Chordata, Mammalia, Rodentia, Muridae. The record is from RefSeq and is a predicted model, not a curated record.